RNAcentral lists this ribosomal RNA (116 nucleotides) under Bacillus subtilis. The record is from RNAcentral. RNAcentral also lists the same sequence under 4 other names. Lineage: Bacteria; Bacillati; Bacillota; Bacilli; Caryophanales; Bacillaceae.
UCUGGUGAUGAUGGCGAAGAGGUCACACCCGUUCCCAUACCGAACACGGAAGUUAAGCUCUUCAGCGCCGAUGGUAGUCGGGGGGUUCCCCCUGUGAGAGUAGGACAUCGCCAGGC